AAAGUCGUAACAAGGUUUCCGUAGGUGAACCUGCGGAAGGAUCAUUACAAAUCUCUGUGUGGUGGAGGAGGGGGAGUGUGUGGUUUGGUUUGCUGCUGGAAAGGUCAAACUGACCAGCAUCGCUCAUUCAUCCACGCACUCAUCACCCAUCCCACCCACACAUAUGCACAGGGCCGCAAGGCUCUGAUGUUUACGCUUGUUUGUUUGACAGAUUUACAUGUGACCAAAUUUUGACAACUUUUAACAAUGGAUCUCUUGGCUCUU
Molecule: unclassified non-coding RNA, 264 nt
Filed under: Basidiomycota sp.
Lineage: Eukaryota; Fungi; Basidiomycota
Description: partial contains small subunit ribosomal RNA, internal transcribed spacer 1, and 5.8S ribosomal RNA
Rfam family: Eukaryotic small subunit ribosomal RNA (bases 1-47)
Source: RNAcentral